Long non-coding RNA from Glossina fuscipes, 424 nucleotides. RefSeq lists it as uncharacterized. NCBI's taxonomy places the organism in Eukaryota, Metazoa, Arthropoda, Insecta, Diptera, Glossinidae. The record is from RefSeq and is a predicted model, not a curated record. The transcript is spliced from 2 exons.
CGUUUUUAUGAGUAAACAAUAAUAGCGCAUAUGGUUUUCUAAGCAAUUCUUUCGAUUUAAUUAAUCUGAUUGGCUUGGUAAUUAGAAGUAAUUUUAACUAAUAUCGUGUAUUAUAAAUUAACUAAAAUAAGAUUUAAAAAAUAUUUUUAACAAAGUUAUACAUAAGAGCAAUGAGUACGUUUCAUUGUUACUUCUGGCGCAUCUCAUCAUUCCUCUUCAGGAAGGUGACAAAAGAACAAGAACGACUAGUAUUUAUUUACAAUUAAAAGUGUAUGUAAAAAUUUUCUUUAGUAAGUAAAUGAAUACUUUAAUUAUUGAAUUGUAUUUGUGGUGACAGUGACGAUAUGAAGAAGUUUUAAAAGCCUUUGUAAUCUAAGUAUAAUCCCUAAGAUUAAAAAAAAUAAAAACAAAAAAAAAAAAAAAA